AUUUGAAAAAUUGGAGUUUUCAGACUAUAAAAGUGCUCAUACAAUUUUAAUUUCUACACGCUAACAAUGAAAAAUAUGGCUAAAACUCUCAUGUUUUUUCACAUUAUGUUUAUUUUAAUUUUCACAUUUAUCAUUCUCAUCGAAGGCCUUCGUCCACUAAGAAUUAAUGGACAAAAUCCUCCGUGUUUAAAGGACGAAGAUUGUCCUACUUAUUUGUGUCUCUAUCCUUGGACUCCUAGGUGUGUAAAGGAUCAUUGUCGAUGUGGAUAAUGAUGAUUCCAUCCUUGAAAAUUAUAAAAAUGGCCAUUAGUACUAUACUACUACUAUUAAUAAAUUUUCCCUUCAGCACCUUUUUAUCAAGUUCAAAAAUAAAGUUGUGGUAAUUCUAUGAGUAUAAUCGUAUUUGUAAUUAAUAUACGUUGGUACGUUGGCUUUUUACAUAGGUGUUUCGCUUAUAUAAAACGUCUUUAUUUUGUAAUUUUGCUUUUUUAGUCUCUAUUUAUUUUGUGCAGAGAUCGAUUAUUAAUAAUAUAAUAUGUUGGUGCGUUUUUGUGCAGAGAUCGAUUAUUAAUAAUAUAAUAUGUUGGCUUUUUUCAUA
This is a long non-coding RNA of Trifolium pratense (red clover), 598 nucleotides long. RefSeq lists it as uncharacterized. The transcript is spliced from 2 exons. NCBI's taxonomy places the organism in Eukaryota, Viridiplantae, Streptophyta, Magnoliopsida, Fabales, Fabaceae. The record is from RefSeq and is a predicted model, not a curated record.